AUGUUGCGCACUGGCGUGAGGCGGCCGCGCUGCGCGCCAUGCGUCGCGGGGGCAGACGUGCACUGCCAUGCCGACGCGGCGUUCCUCUGCGCGCCCUGCCACGCCCAGGUGCACCGCACCAGCUCCCUCGCGUCCCGCCACCGCCUCACGCGCGUCCCACCGCCCAACCACGUCCGCGCGGAGGUUUCGGCCAGGGCGAUGGGCCUGCACACCUGGGGUGCGCGCCUACGUGCCGCCGGCGGCGGCCGCACGCGUGUCCCGCCGCCCAGCAACAUCCGCGGCCGCUGCGGGGCCGCGCUCCAACUUUUGGCCAGGCGGGUAGGCCUGGACGCGGGGGUUGCGCGCCUGCGUGCCGCCGCAGCCUUCCACACGCUCCGGGUCGAGUUCGCCUCCACGCCGCGCAUGCCGCUGCGUGUCGCGAUGGCGGCCGCGUUGUGGAGGGAGGUGGCGGCUCACGGCGGUGUCCACGAGCCCGGCUACGCACUCCAGCGCCUGGCAACUUGGGCGCACGUGCCUGCGAGUUUCAUUGUGGCGGUGGCGGCGGCCAUCGGGCGCGCGCGCCAAGUAAGGACGGCCGCAGUGGACUGCGCGAUCGUGAGCCCACGCGCGACACCACAGGAGCUUUGCUUAUUCGUCUAG
RNAcentral lists this ribosomal RNA (639 nucleotides) under Triticum aestivum (bread wheat). Its description in RNAcentral is "partial small subunit ribosomal RNA". Lineage: Eukaryota; Viridiplantae; Streptophyta; Magnoliopsida; Poales; Poaceae. The record is from RNAcentral.